This is a long non-coding RNA of Cucumis melo (muskmelon), 835 nucleotides long. RefSeq lists it as uncharacterized. The record is from RefSeq and is a predicted model, not a curated record. NCBI's taxonomy places the organism in Eukaryota, Viridiplantae, Streptophyta, Magnoliopsida, Cucurbitales, Cucurbitaceae. The transcript is spliced from 3 exons.
AACACUAAACUCAAAAGGGGAGAGAUUAAAAAAAAGAAGAAGAAGAAGAAAAAUUCAAAGAAAAAGCUGUAUGGUGUAUGUUUGUUCACAGUUCACUCACAUGAAAGAUGAAACAAAUCUAAAAAGGAUCUCCACAACCCCUUUUUUUUAGCCUUUCUUUUUGGUUUUCAUUCAAUUCCUAUUCCUUAUUUUCCUUUUUUUCCUUUUCUUCUUUCUUCCUUCUCGAAAAAUAUACGAAGAAACAGUGAAAAAAAAAAAAAAACUCAAUUUUCUUACAGUUAUUACUCAUCACUUACUCAUUCAUUCAUAAAUCUAAAACAACCCAUUUCUCAAAAUCCUCUUGGCACUAAUGGGUCGCUCUUCUUUUCUCUCAAUUCUUCUUCUUCUUCUUUCUUUCUUAUUCGCUCUCGGUUUCUCUAAUGGAUUUGGAAGAAGGAAUUUGAGGAUGGUGGUGGAGCCUCUUGAUUCACAUCAUAACUCCAGACUUCUACUAGAGGAAAAUGGAAGAAAAUGGAGGAUGGUGAUGAUGGAGACAAUGGAUUAUGCAGAUCCAGAACCAAACACAAACGUAAGAGGUGGCUAUGCUUCUCCACCUCCUCCAAAUCAUGGAUGAAUUUUAAUUCAAUUCUCUAUAAAUUAAAAUAAAGGCUUUUCUUUAAUUUUCCUAUUUUGUGUUCGUGUGUGUGUGUGGGUGUGGGAAUGUUAUUUUGUUCAUAGUAUUUGUUUUGGGAGAGGUAGGGAAAGAAGGGUUGAUGUUGAAUUACCUAAUUUUAUUUUGUAAAGUGGAUUUGUUUGUGGUUUGGAUGUGGAUUGAUAAAUCAUGCAUUUUAUUAAA